Molecule: long non-coding RNA, 2348 nt
Filed under: Lupinus angustifolius (narrow-leaved blue lupine)
Lineage: Eukaryota; Viridiplantae; Streptophyta; Magnoliopsida; Fabales; Fabaceae
Description: long non-coding RNA (LANG_LNC002027)
Source: RNAcentral
GGAGCAUUUCCAAGGGUGAAAUGACACUAAUUACAUUAUACUAACACUAAUUACACAAUGAGAUUCUACCAUAGGUGGGUGCAAUGACAUGCUUAUAGCUCCCUGUUCCUGCAUGGUAAACUACAGAGCCAAUUUAAUCACGCCAAACAUCAAAUAAGGGUCUUUCAGCUUUGCUAGUUACACUGCCUGUAAAUCAAGAAAGAACAAUAUCACAAUGCAGGCAUCAUCGACGUGACGAUUGGGAACAAGUGAUAACAAAUCUAUUGCUAGACGAUGCAAUGGCAGCAAUAUUUUACCACAACGAAUCCACAAUCUUACGUUAAUCAAAAUGAAGUGGGGAGAAUACAAGUAUUGACUCGAUACAAGAAUCAGCAUGGGAAACCUUAGACACAGACCAUGCAACAAUUAAUACUUUGACCCCUUCUUCUGCCAAUAGGAGAAAAAGUGUGAUAAUUCUCCUUAUAAAAUAAACUAUACCAUCUCAUUACAAAUAAUUUUCCAAAGCUACUUUUAACCAACCACUGGUCCACAGUACAAAUCCACAACAUACUGACACUACGAAAGCCUUCAGGAUCUCAGUUAUAUUACUUAUAUAUGAAAUAAGAUUACAAAUAACAGGAUUCUCACUCAAAACAGGAAAGAUAAACAUGCAUGGAAGUACAUACCUCGGCAGAUGCUGGAAUCAGAGAUUCCCUGUCAAAUAAAUUUCACAAAAAAUAUUAGUUUGCUGCAUCUAUAUGUAAUUACACAGUUCUUAACAAAUCAAAAUUACACUGAUAUUACCUUGGCCUAUCAGACUUUGCAAUAUGUUUAGACAUUAUUGAUGCCUGCAAUAUAACACAUUAUCAUAUUAUUCUCAAACGUAAACAUGCAUUGCAUUGUCAAUAUAAACACAACAGAGCUACGCAAACUACUGUCAUACAGUUCUAUUGAAAAGCACGAUUAAGUCAAAAAAAACUUGGAUUUGUUCAAAGAGAAAACCAUUUGUUACUAAAAGGAUGUAUGAGGAAAAACUUUUUAGACCCCCAAUAAAAAAAAGAUCAACAAGUAUAUUGAUCCAAAGUUCUUUAUAUUUUUUUUAAGAAAAGAAGGCAUGUAGAUCAAGAAACACUGCAAAAUUUAAUGAUAAUGCAAAAUUUAUUUUAAUUUAGAGUACCUGAACAUGAAAUUUCAUUCAACCUAGUAUAAAGAUUCAAGAGAGUAACGCUGCUACUCUCUUCUGCUUAAGUGCCUGCUUUACCUUGCCGAGAAACUUGUGCUUUACUUCCUAAAGAAGCACCAAAUCUCUUGUUUCGCUUUAAUAGCCCUUAGGUUUCUUUUACUUAAGUUGUGUUUUUAAAGCACUUUUGUACUUCAGUCAAACACCAUAAAAAAUCAAAAGAUUUUUUUACUAGAGCAGCUUCUGUAGAUUUUACAUAAUAAUCUACGCCUUGCACGGUUGCACCUAUCUUGUAAUUGCAAUUGCAAGAGUGCAAAACAUUACCUGUUCUUGUAUGAUGCUCCUUUAUUCUCACACCGUUAUGAUAUACUUUCAUAGAUCAUCUACAUAGCUAAUUUUUGUCCAGGAUUAUAAAAUAAGUUUAACAAGUAGAGGAAAUGUCAUAAUAUAAUGUUUCAUAAAUAAAACCUUCCUCUGGCUGCCAAUAUUAAAUACUACUUAGUUUGAUUAGUCCCUAUGGCAUAAAAACUUCGUUUCUUCUAGGAGCAUUUCCAAGGGUGAAAUGACACUAAUUACAUUAUACUAACACUAAUUACACAAUGAGAUUCUACCAUAGGUGGGUGCAAUGACAUGCUUAUAGCUCCCUGUUCCUGCAUGGUAAACUACAGAGCCAAUUUAAUCACGCCAAACAUCAAAUAAGGGUCUUUCAGCUUUGCUAGUUACACUGCCUGUAAAUCAAGAAAGAACAAUAUCACAAUGCAGGCAUCAUCGACGUGACGAUUGGGAACAAGUGAUAACAAAUCUAUUGCUAGACGAUGCAAUGGCAGCAAUAUUUUACCACAACGAAUCCACAAUCUUACGUUAAUCAAAAUGAAGUGGGGAGAAUACAAGUAUUGACUCGAUACAAGAAUCAGCAUGGGAAACCUUAGACACAGACCAUGCAACAAUUAAUACUUUGACCCCUUCUUCUGCCAAUAGGAGAAAAAGUGUGAUAAUUCUCCUUAUAAAAUAAACUAUACCAUCUCAUUACAAAUAAUUUUCCAAAGCUACUUUUAACCAACCACUGGUCCACAGUACAAAUCCACAACAUACUGACACUACGAAAGCCUUCAGGAUCUCAGUUAUAUUACUUAUAUAUGAAAUAAGAUUACAAAUAACAGGAUUCUCACUCAAAACAGGAAAGAUAAAC